Molecule: long non-coding RNA, 816 nt
Organism: Epinephelus moara (kelp grouper)
Lineage: Eukaryota; Metazoa; Chordata; Actinopteri; Perciformes; Serranidae
Exons: 3
Source: RefSeq, a predicted model, not a curated record
AGAAGUUUUUGUCCAGUCUGGGGUAAUACAGGGGUGAGUCCUCAACAAUUGACCCCCGGUGGUCUGGUGGGUCUUGUUCAUUUAUAAUACUGGUUCAAGGGAAGUCCAGAGAGGCUGUUCCUCUACAACAGCAUUAACUUCAUACGGAUGGAAAUGGCGAGGAGACUGAUGGAUGAUUCUGUAAACCCACAAUCUAUCAGUCCUGUCACCCAACUGCCUGCCCCCCCCCACUCCUAAACCUCCAACAUUCACUCAGAGUCACACUCCCCAGCCCAGAGUUUCCACCACCCCCAGUCUCAUUCAAACCCAGCCAGAAGCUACAUUCACCCGAUGCCCCACUACUGAAACAGACAUUUUACCACAGUCAUCCUCUUCAGGCCGGCUUGCUCCCAUUUACAUCCUCACAGCCAGAAUGCCACGAAUCCCAGACAGCAAAUGGAUGAAAUAUUUAGUGGCUCCGGGGUGGGGAGUGAAACCACCAGGCACCAUCAUUUCCACACCAGUCUUUCCAAGUCAAACUCUAUCUGAACUCAUCAACUCCUGAACAGCGUGACACAGACAACCAACAGACAACACAUCCUUCUGCCAAAAAAAAAGCCAAAACUAAAUCAUCAUUUCAGGACACUGACGAGUCCCAUGCUGAGUGGAGGACAGCUGCUCUGGAAUCACUUGUGAGGCCAGAAUUGGCAAGGUGGAGGAGACUGAAGGAGAGAAGAAGAGAAUAUGCGAAAAAAAAAAGAUCUCAUGUAUGGGAUAAGUACUUACCCAAUUAAAAGAUAUUGGAAAGCAGCAGGAACAAAUAAUUGACUUAAAAGA